UUGGAAAUCAUUCAUAGAGUGUAAAGGCAUAAGGGAGCUUGACUGCGAGACCUACAAGUCGAGCAGGGUCGAAAGACGGACUUAGUGAUCCGGUGGUUCCGCAUGGAAGGGCCAUCGCUCAACGGAUAAAAGCUACCCCGGGGAUAACAGGCUUAUCUCCCCCAAGAGUUCACAUCGACGGGGAGGUUUGGCACCUCGAUGUCGGCUCAUCGCAUCCUGGGGCUGUAGUCGGUCCCAAGGGUUGGGCUGUUCGCCCAUUAAAGCGGUACGCGAGCUGGGUUCAGAACGUCGUGAGACAGUUCGGUCCCUAUCCGUCGUGGGCGUAGGAAAUUUGAGAGGAGCUGUCCUUAGUACGAGAGGACCGGGAUGGACAUACCUCUGGUGUACCAGUUGUCGUGCCAACGGCAUAGCUGGGUAGCUAUGUGUGGACGGGAUAAGUGCUGAAAGCAUCUAAGCAUGAAGCCCCCCUCAAGAUGAGAUUUCCCAACUUCGGUUAUAAGAUCCCUCAAAGAUGAUGAGGUUAAUAGGUUCGAGGUGGAAGCAUGGUGACAUGUGGAGCUGACGAAUACUAA
RNAcentral lists this ribosomal RNA (572 nucleotides) under Staphylococcus aureus. RNAcentral's name for it is "partial 23S ribosomal RNA". It matches the Rfam family "Bacterial large subunit ribosomal RNA", at positions 2331 to 2904 of the family's 2925-position model. Lineage: Bacteria; Bacillati; Bacillota; Bacilli; Caryophanales; Staphylococcaceae. The record is from RNAcentral.